Tephrocybe rancida is the source of this 97-nucleotide non-coding RNA. NCBI's taxonomy places the organism in Eukaryota, Fungi, Basidiomycota, Agaricomycetes, Agaricales, Lyophyllaceae. The record is from the annotation of a GenBank genome assembly.
CACCAUGUAGCUCAAUUGGUAGAGUGCCAAGGUGUCAUCAUUUGACAAUCACCUUAUUCAUUGUUGAUGCAAGUUCGAGCCUCGUCAUGGCUAUUGA